GGUUUCUUAGUCUAGUGGUUAGGACAUUCGGUUUUGACGAUGUCUGCAAACAUGGCAAGCAAUUGCCUACGGACGAUGAUCUCCUCCGAAGAACCUGGGUUCGAACCCCAGAGAGACCU
Molecule: transfer RNA, 119 nt
Rfam family: tRNA
About the family: Transfer RNA (tRNA) molecules are approximately 80 nucleotides in length. Their secondary structure includes four short double-helical elements and three loops (D, anti-codon, and T loops).
Source: Rfam